UCCAAAAACUACACGAGUUUUACAAAGCAGAAAAAAGGAAAAUAUUCGCUUUGAGAAAGUUAAUAGUACAAGGAAAAACUCUCAAAAAAAUUUGACAGGUUAGCAAAAUACAUUUAUUACAUAGAAAUUAGUUUAAAUACAAGUUUUUUAAAGAAUUAGUACCGAAACAACAGCGAAAAAAACAUGUUCAUUGAUAAUAUGGACUCAAAUGAAUUUGCAGUCAACAAGCACUUACUAUACUACCAAACAUCUGUAUAAUAUAUCUGAGCUUUCCUGUGAGAUAUACCGAUUCUAAAACCAUUUCUUUCACACACAUAUAUAUAUAUAUAUAUAUAUAUAUAUAUAUAUAUAAAACAAUUCAAGUCUUCUUG
This is a non-coding RNA of Paramuricea clavata, 371 nucleotides long. The record is from the annotation of a GenBank genome assembly. NCBI's taxonomy places the organism in Eukaryota, Metazoa, Cnidaria, Anthozoa, Malacalcyonacea, Plexauridae.